GAUGAACGCUGGCGGCGUGCUUAACACAUGCAAGUCGAACGGAAAGGCCCAAGCUUGCUUGGGUACUCGAGUGGCGAACGGGUGAGUAACACGUGGGUGAUCUGCCCUGCACUUCGGGAUAAGCCUGGGAAACUGGGUCUAAUACCGGAUAGGACGAUGGUUUGGAUGCCAUUGUGGAAAGUUUUUUCGGUGUGGGAUGAGCUCGCGGCCUAUCAGCUUGUUGGUGGGGUAAUGGCCUACCAAGGCGUCGACGGGUAGCCGGCCUGAGAGGGUGUACGGCGACACAGUGGCUGAGAGACGGCCCAGACUCCUACGGGAGGCAGCAGUGGGGGAUAUUGCACAAUGGGCGCAAGCGUGAUGCAGCGACGCCGCGUGGGGGAUGUCGGCCUUCUGGUUGUAAACUCCUUUCGCGAGGGACGAAGCGUUUUUGUGACGGUACCUGGAGAAGAAGCACCGGCUAACUACGUG
This 468-nucleotide ribosomal RNA is filed under the name uncultured bacterium. Its description in RNAcentral is "partial 16S ribosomal RNA". It matches the Rfam family "Bacterial small subunit ribosomal RNA", at positions 28 to 507 of the family's 1533-position model. The record is from RNAcentral.